UUGGACACGUGUGGCAUGCGGCAUUUCACCGGCAACUCAAGCUAAAAAUAAUUUCGUUGCAUGCAUUUGUUCGUACGUUGCACUUUCGGCGUGUUAGCGGUGCACAAAGUGAGUGACAGGUAGACAGUCUUGAUUCUGAAAAUUGAACAGUUACAUUUUAAAAAUGCAAAGUGUAUGAAUUGAACUCAAGUGUAGUGGACUGUUGAAAUAUGUUGCGGUGCUAAAGAGCGUUAUGUGCGUGUAAAUAAAGAUUACUCCAAAAAAUUUAUAAAAAAUUAAGCGCUUUUGCUUCUUUUGUGUACUCGGCAAACGAAGUUUAAAGUGGACUGUUUGAAAAUACAAAUCAAGUGCAUCAAACAUUGAAGAACAGUGCAGAUCUUGCGUUCUCACUAGACUGCAGUUUCUAAAUUUGGUUUUAGUCCACAAAUUGCGAAUUCAGUUGAGAUCUACUUGACUUUUUUCGAAAUUUGAAGUGCUUAUAAAGUGAAGAGAGUUCAAUUUAUUAUUGAUCAGAGUUCGUGUCAAACAAUACUCACCAGCAAAUAUAGUCUUAUUGACAACAGCAGCACGACAAAAUGCGAGAUCGUACGAGUAAUAAAAUGAAGCUUUUUGCAUUGCGUUACCGUG
Bactrocera latifrons is the source of this 627-nucleotide long non-coding RNA. RefSeq lists it as uncharacterized. NCBI's taxonomy places the organism in Eukaryota, Metazoa, Arthropoda, Insecta, Diptera, Tephritidae. The transcript is spliced from 3 exons. The record is from RefSeq and is a predicted model, not a curated record.